ACGAGCCAUUCUUGGCAGGAGGAGAUCACAACUCCACUAGCACUAGCCUCAGCUUUUCGUACAUGCUAAUGCUGCGAAGAGCAAGAGGAGAAUUAAUUAAAACCGCAGUAGGUGGUCCGUUGUCGAGAUCUGUUCAGAGCGUUCCAAACCUAUCUGCUGUGGAUGUACAAGUUCUUGAAUUUAUUAACACCUAGCGAGGAAGCUGCUAGUGGCACAAAAAGAAGAAGAAAGAAAAGAAACCUGCUGGUGCUGGGCUACACAAGUCGAGACAAAUCCAUAUCGAUGCCCCGCCCCCAAAAAAACCCUCCUCGCAAUGUGUAAUUAGUUUAUAAUCUCUUGCAAUUUCCCACGUAGGGCUUACCUUAUAGUCUCCUUAGGCCACUAUAAAUACCCUUGUAAACCCCCUCGAGGCCAUCACCUCCCAAGCAGUGACCUCUAGCUAGCCCUGCAAAUCAAGCCUUGCUGAUAUAAAAAAAAUGAAGCUCUCUUUUGCAGCACUGCUGCUACUUUCAGUGGUCCUCCUGUCCUCUUUCCUUCGGUUCACCAUGGCUGUGCCCAACCACGUCGCGUCACCUCCACCUCCCUCCCCAGCAAUUCCAAGUUUCUGUGAUCCAAAGUGCAAGGCUAGGUGUGCCAAGGCGGGAUACUACCAACGCUGCUAUGACUACUGUAUAAUCUGCUGCAAAGAUUGCAAGUGUGUGCCUUCAGGGACUUACGGAAACAAGUCAGAAUGUCCAUGCUACAGAGACAAGUUGAACUCAAAGGGCACCUCCAAAUGCCCUUAAGAAAUCCAUUAUCCCAACCUUUAUUUUCCCUUUUCACUCAAUAAAAUGCAACAACUUGUACUUAGACGUUUCCAAAAACUGAAUCUAUAUAUUCAUGACUGUUAGUAGCAUUGUAAUAAGAAGUCGGAGAGCCAUAAUGUUGAAUAAAUAGCGUAGUCGUUUCUGGUCUUUCUUGUCUCAUUGACUGUUGUGCACGAGCUGAGUUCUUAAAAAAUGUGAUUCUCCGGUUUCCUAGUA
Molecule: long non-coding RNA, 1022 nt
Organism: Populus nigra (black poplar)
Lineage: Eukaryota; Viridiplantae; Streptophyta; Magnoliopsida; Malpighiales; Salicaceae
Exons: 2
Source: RefSeq, a predicted model, not a curated record